This 840-nucleotide ribosomal RNA is filed under the name uncultured Actinomycetes bacterium. RNAcentral describes it as "bacterial SSU rRNA". It matches the Rfam family "Bacterial small subunit ribosomal RNA", at positions 50 to 905 of the family's 1533-position model. The record is from RNAcentral. Lineage: Bacteria; Bacillati; Actinomycetota; Actinomycetes.
UACACAUGCAAGUCGAGCGAUGAAACACCUUCGGGUGUGAAUUAGCGGCGAACGGGUGAGGAACACGUGAAGAAUCUGCCUUCAACUCUGGGAUAACUCCGGGAAACCGGGGCUAAUACCGGAUAUGAGCCUCGAUCGCAUGAUUGGGGCUGGAAAGUUUUUCGGUUGAAGAUGACUUCGCGGCCUAUCAGCUUGUUGGUGAGGUAAUGGCUCACCAAGGCGACGACGGGUAGCCGGCCUGAGAGGGCGACCGGCCACACUGGGACUGAGACACGGCCCAGACCCCUACGGGAGGCAGCAGUGGGGAAUAUUGGGCAAUGGAGGAAACUCUGACCCAGCGACGCCGCGUGAGGGAUGAAGGCCUUCGGGUUGUAAACCUCUUUCAGUAGGGAAGAAGCGAAAGUGACGGUACCUACAGAAGAAGCACCGGCUAACUAUGUGCCAGCAGCCGCGGUAAUACAUAGGGUGCAAGCGUUGUCCGGAAUUAUUGGGCGUAAAGAGCUCGUAGGUGGUUCGAUACGUCGGAUGUGAAAAUCAGGGGCUCAACCCCUGACCUGCAUCCGAUACGGUCGAACUAGAGUUUGGUAGGGGAGACUGGAAUUCCUGGUGUAGCGGUGGAAUGCGCAGAUAUCACGAGGAACACCGAUGGCGAAGGCAGGUCUCUGGGCCAAUACUGACACUGAGGAGCGAAAGCGUGGGGAGCGAACAGGAUUAGAUACCCUGGUAGUCCACGCCGUAUACGGUGGGCGCUAGUUGUGCGAACCUUCCACGGUUUGUGCGACGCAGCUAACGCAUUAAGCGCCCCGCCUGGGGAGUACGAUCGCAAGAUUAAAACUCAAA